GAUCAUGGCUCAGAACGAACGCUGGCGGCAGGCUUAACACAUGCAAGUUGAACGGGAUUUGUAUGGUGCUUGCACCAUGUAAUGAGAGUAGCGCACUGGUGAGUAACACGUGGGAACAUACCUUGAAGUGGGGGACAACAGUUGGAAACGACUGCUAAUACCGCAUAAUCCCUGAGGGGGAAAGAUUUAUCGGUGAUGGAUGGGGAUGCGUCUGAUUAGCUUGUUGGCGGGGUAACGG
This 238-nucleotide ribosomal RNA is filed under the name uncultured bacterium. Its description in RNAcentral is "partial 16S ribosomal RNA". It matches the Rfam family "Bacterial small subunit ribosomal RNA", at positions 15 to 263 of the family's 1533-position model. The record is from RNAcentral.